RNAcentral lists this long non-coding RNA (1948 nucleotides) under Coffea arabica (coffee). RNAcentral's name for it is "long non-coding RNA (CARA_LNC007217)". The record is from RNAcentral. Lineage: Eukaryota; Viridiplantae; Streptophyta; Magnoliopsida; Gentianales; Rubiaceae.
UCUUUUUCUCUUUCUUUUUCUUUCUUCUUUCUUUCUCUUUUCAUCUUCUCUCCCUGUCCUUUUUCUUCCAUUCUUUCCUUUUCUAGUUGCAAGACCACAACCUUAGGACCUCAAACUCUGCUGCUUGCGUCGUUUUUGCUCGUCACUAUUGCUACCACACCAUGCAGCCACCGCUUGCCACCACCCAUGAUCAUCUCCAUUUCCGUUAUCUGUUGGCAUCUCCGAUUUUGGUUUGGGGGUAGUGAAGAUCAACAUGUUGGCUUUACACUACCAAUCCCACCUAUGUCAUAGCUGCUCGAGACCCUCCAUUACUUGUUCAGAGAAGUUUUGUUGUCCCUUUUAUUUCGUAUUCUAUUAUUUAUCUCUUAUAUCAGGGACAAUGUAAGAUUUAGGUGUGGGGGAGUAGAAUAUUGGUAUUUUAUUGAAAAAGUACAAGUGUAGGCAUUUUUGUUGGAAUUUUUUAUUUGACUUUGUCGAAUUUUAUCCAAUUUUUGCCUAUCUUUGUGCAUAUUUGUGAUUGUUCCCGAUAAACAAUGGUUAGAUGUUUCAAAAUUUUCUAUUGCUAAGAUUUUACACUCUAAGGUGUUAAGUAUGACAUGAUUAAAUCUAAGAGUAUCUUUUUGGUGAAUAUUUGAGAUUUUGUGAUCUUUGCACUUUUUUGUUAACUUUUCUACGUAUUGUAAAUAUUUGUCUAACAUUAUUUUUAUGCAAAUUGCUUCAACUAUUAAUCUUAGUUCUCCAUAUUUAAAAGAUAUAGUGGGUUUCUGUGAUUUUUAAUUUUAAUUUGGUGCUUAAUUAUGAAUAGUAAUGGACUAUACUCCGAUAGUAUCGUUGCCUAGUAACCGGAGGUUUUCACCACAAGUAUCGAUUUUCGCGUCAAAAAGUGACGAUAACUAUGAGUAUAUGGUCCUUUAGCGAUAAAAGUUGAGUAAUCGGGUUCCUUCUUUUGGUAGAUGUCGGAGUUCGCGUCAAAACACUUAAAUGGCUAAAGACUAAGCAUUCCCCUUGAAAGAAAAAUUCAAGUGUGGGGAUAUUCUAGAAAAUAAAAAAUAUAUAUGUGCUAAUAGUGAAACAUGUGAAAGUGUUUGAAUAAAUUGUUAGCCCGCUAAUCCAUGAAUUUUAUUGUUGACAUUUUGCUUAAUAGUCGAACCGUUUGCUUAUGAAUGUUGGUUGGAGAGAUAGUUCUUGGAACUUAAUCGCUAAUACUUGACAUGUGUUUUAAUUGUAUCUUAGCAAUAGAAGAUAUGAACAAUAGCCAUUGUUUGAAUUUGAUUGUUUGAAUUGUUAUUCUCAUGCUUGAGGACAAGCAUGAUUUAGGUGUGGAGGAAAUUGAUAGGGUGCGAAAUUGUCAUUUAAUUUAUAAUUUUUUUCGUUUUAUUCUAGCCAAAUAUUAUAUUAAUUGAUUGAUUUUAUUUAUAUUCGAUAUAAUAUUGCCAAUUGUAGGAAAAUGAACAAAAUGUGAUCAAAGGGGUAAUUUUUCAAGAAUUACUGUCAAGUCUUGAGAAGUCGGGAUUUCACGCGUACGGUGGCAGUUUCCAAAGAAUGGUGGAUUCCAAAUCUGAAGCUAUGCUGGAAUAAUCAUUUCCUUUUUCUAUUUAGUAGUUGAGUACUAUGAGGAAACUAUUUUUAUUAGAAAAUCUGUUAAAUUAGAAAAGUUCAUAUAGUCUAGGAUUCUAGACUAUUAGGAAGUCUUUUCAGCUUGAGUUUGACGGAAGAGAAGGACAACAAGAAGUAAUAAGAAACAAAACGGCUUCGGCCUCGAAUCGAUUGGCUAUUAUAUUGUUUUCCUUCAUUUGGGGAAAAAAAGAUUGUUCAUUAAUUUCUUUGGAGAGUCUCUGAUGAUAACGGAAACACUUAAUUCGCGCGGGAUUACUCCAAGGAUGAUGAACUAAUCAUCCACUUUUAGUCAAGGGGACAACUGAAGAUUUGGUUUGGUCAUAACUGUGAG